This 1107-nucleotide long non-coding RNA is filed under the name Sinocyclocheilus anshuiensis. RNAcentral's name for it is "lncRNA (ENSSANG00000007422.1)". The record is from RNAcentral. Lineage: Eukaryota; Metazoa; Chordata; Actinopteri; Cypriniformes; Cyprinidae.
AGAGCUUAUGAUUACAGCACCAAUGCAAACAAACAGUCAGUGGGGUUCUCAAAUGAACAUGAAUUGCUCAGUGUACGAACCCACACCUCGUUCGAUUGCCCAACCCCCUCCUGUUAGUAGACCGCUGCAGAGAGGAAGCUGGCAGACAGGAAGCACCUCCAGCACUUCUAGUAGUAGCAGUCACAGAUUGAGCAUUCAGAGCACCGUCAGCAACAGCAGUGAGGUGGAAGGUGAAUGUGAGGAAUCCAGACAUACUAAACGAGCGAUAUGUAUCGACUCCAUCCCGUCCUGUUCAUCAGACGCCUGCGCAAAGGUCCAUGCCACCUCCACCUAUACCGAGACGCACAUGGUGAAGGCCUGCUUCAGCAUGGCUGGCUUUCGUUCUGUUUGACUCUGCACUUUUCUUGUUGAGCCUUUGAGAUCUGUAAGUCUCUUCAAGGUGGAACAGAAACUACUGGCUGUGUCCGAAACUGAAGACGGCUCAUUUCCUCCCCUACACUGUAAAAAAAAUUCUGUAGUUUUUACAAAAUAAUUUUGGCAGCUGUGGUUGCCAGAAUAAUUUUGUAAAAAAUACAGAAAAACUGUAAACACAUUUACGGCCAAAAACUGUAAAUUUCACAGUAAAAAACUGUAAUUUACAAACAAGAAAAUUUGAAUGUAAACCAGUAAAUUCAACAAUGCACACUGCUAUUAAAAUCUGUUUUGUACCUUUAACAUACUGACAACCACCAUAAUAAUGCAGGUGGUAAAAGAGAAAGCCACAUGAAGAAUCAAAGCUCAUCACAAGUAGCUUCGCCACAAGCAGAAGUAUAUACUAAUAUAUAGAAGGUGCACAGAGUCAUUCAUGCAAACACAAAACACCAUCAUGGUAACACACAUGAUACUUAAAUAAUGCAUUAAACUUUCAUUAAACAACAGAAGAUGUAACAUAAAGCCCAAAUAUACAUAACUAAUAACAAAAACUAUUAAAAAAACAUGAUUAUUUAAACAAAAUACCUUAAAAUGUGGAGUGUCAUGCAGGGAAUUCGGGGUAUAUCAGUUUACAGUUUUUGACUGUAAAUUAUACAUUGAUUUGUUAUUUUUCCUUCUAAAAACUGUCAAAUUAAC